ACGUAGGGACCAAGCGUUGUUCGGAUUUACUGGGCGUAAAGGGCGCGUAGGCGGCGUGGUAAGUCAAUUGUGAAAUCUCCGAGCUUAACUCGGAACGGUCAAUUGAUACUGCUGUGCUAGAGCGCAGAAAGGGCAAUCGGAAUUCUUGGUGUAGCGGUGAAAUGCGUAGAUAUCAAGAGGAACACCUGAGGCGAAGGCGGGUUGCUAGGCUGACACUGACGCUGAGGCGCGAAAGCUAGGGGAUCAAACAGGA
RNAcentral lists this ribosomal RNA (253 nucleotides) under uncultured prokaryote. RNAcentral's name for it is "partial 16S ribosomal RNA". It matches the Rfam family "Bacterial small subunit ribosomal RNA", at positions 525 to 777 of the family's 1533-position model. The record is from RNAcentral.